AACCUUGAUAGAGCUAUGUACUUUAUUAGUGUACUUUAAGUAUUAACAAGAACUUUUAUUGUUUUAGAAUUACAAUGGUAAGACAUCUUCAUUGCAGAAAGUAUGUCAAAUGCAGUUGCUCUGGUUCCUGUUUAACUUGCCUUGACUCCAGGGAAGAAAAAGAUACCUCAAGAAGCUUGAUCUUACUAAGUUCAUUGACUAAAAUUCUCUGCUUGCUUUGCUUCCAUUCAUCCACCCAACCCCAUACAACAAACACAAAUGAGUUGAUGAGAAACAUUUUUGGAUAUUAACCUUUUUGAAAGCAGUAGAUUGAAGGAAUCCAUAUUAAGCUUCUAACAGAAUAAGCAGAAAAAACGGAGAAAUAGUCUCAUAUCUGUGGAAGCACAAGAAAACUUUGGUUAUGCUCACAUGAAGAAAAUAUUUAUUUAGGCUUCAAUUAAGGGACAAUAUAUAGAGAAAGAUGGUCAUAUUGCUAACUUCAUUUCUAAGAAUUUAUUUUAAGAGAAUAAAUGAAACAGUACACAAG
Pteropus alecto (black flying fox) is the source of this 526-nucleotide long non-coding RNA. RefSeq lists it as uncharacterized. Lineage: Eukaryota; Metazoa; Chordata; Mammalia; Chiroptera; Pteropodidae. The record is from RefSeq and is a predicted model, not a curated record. The transcript is spliced from 2 exons.